CCUACGGGAGGCAGCAGUGAGGAAUAUUGGACAAUGGGCGCAAGCCUGAUCCAGCCAUGCCGCGUGCAGGAUGACGGUCCUAUGGAUUGUAAACUGCUUUUAUACGAGAAGAAACACUACUUCGUGAAGUAGCUUGACGGUAUCGUAAGAAUAAGGAUCGGCUAACUCCGUGCCAGCAGCCGCGGUAAUACGGAGGAUCCAAGCGUUAUCCGGAAUCAUUGGGUUUAAAGGGUCCGUAGGCGGUUUAAUAAGUCAGUGGUGAAAGCCCAUCGCUCAACGGUGGAACGGCCAUUGAUACUGUUAGACUUGAAUUAUUAGGAAGUAACUAGAAUAUGUAGUGUAGCGGUGAAAUGCUUAGAGAUUACAUGGAAUACCAAUUGCGAAGGCAGGUUACUACUAAUAUAUUGACGCUGAUGGACGAAAGCGUGGGUAGCGAACAGGAUUAGAUACCCUGGUAGUCCACGCCGUAAACGAUGGAUACUAGCUGUUGGAAGCAAUUUCAGUGGCUAAGCGAAAGUGAUAAGUAUCCCACCUGGGGAGUACGUUCGCAAGAUGAAACCUCAAAGGAAUUGACGGCUGAGAGAGCGACGACGACGACGAGGGAGGAGG
This 609-nucleotide ribosomal RNA is filed under the name uncultured bacterium. Its description in RNAcentral is "bacterial SSU rRNA". It matches the Rfam family "Bacterial small subunit ribosomal RNA", at positions 338 to 951 of the family's 1533-position model. The record is from RNAcentral.